UACAUGGGGGGCAAGCGUUGUUCGGAAUUACUGGGCGUAAAGGGCUCGUAGGCGGCCAACUAAGUCACACGUGAAAUCCCCAGGCUUAACCUGGGAACUGCGUGUGAUACUGGAUGGCUUGAAUCCGGGAGAGGGAUGCAGAAUUCCAGGUGUAGCGGUGAAAUGCGUAGAUAUCUGGAGGAAUACCGGUGGCGAAGGCGGCGUCCUGGACCGGCAUUGACGCUGAUGAGCGAAAGCUAGGGGAGCAAACGGG
This 253-nucleotide ribosomal RNA is filed under the name uncultured bacterium. RNAcentral describes it as "partial 16S ribosomal RNA". It matches the Rfam family "Bacterial small subunit ribosomal RNA", at positions 524 to 776 of the family's 1533-position model. The record is from RNAcentral.